GUUUCAGACAUUGACGAAUGCGCCAUUCUGCCUUGUAAGUACGCUGCUACCUGCAUAGACGGCCUGAACACUUACCAAUGUACAUGCGCAACUGUAUUCUCGGGACUGAAUUGCGAAACAGACAUUGACAAGUGUGCAUCAAGUCCGUGCAAAAAUGGAGCAACUUGCAUUGAUAAACUUGCUUUGUUUACCUGUUUAUGUAAAUCAGGGUACACCGGACGACUUUGUGAAACAGAAAUCGACGAAUGUGCAACAAAUCCUUGCUGAAACUGCGGGUCUUGCAAUAAUGGAAUUGAUUCUUUCAAAUCCUCUUGCAUAUCUGGAUUCUAAGGUGUUCUGUGCGAAGAAGGAACCGCUAUCCCCGUAUGCCCCUCCUACUAUAGUGGAGUAGCACGUACUGGGGACUUCUGGAAAAUGCUGCCAAUAAUGUACGCCGAGAUGAACGUGUGGCUGAUGUAUUCAAUAUAUUAGCAUUAUGACUGUACCUUUGCUUUAUAUGUUUAAGUUAUGUAUAGGUUGCGGCAUAAUCUAUGCAAACAUUUCGAGAUAAGAACUAGAAAAACAUUGUAAAAUUUGUUAGGUUUAUUGAAAAUUGACGAUCGUUGUUGGCAGUUUAAUCGGUUUGUUUGUUUGGUACCACAAUAUAUAAUUAUACAAUGUAUAUUUUGUGCUUAUAAAUAUUAAGCGAUGUUCAUUUGUGGUGUUGGUACUAUGCAUAGCUACACGCGGUAAUGUUUUUUAGUAUUGCAUAUACACGUAAAUACUACACCUGUAUAAUUGCAUACAAUAUAAAUAAGCAUACCCCCCCCGGUAGUUUACGUAUUUAUUUAUCAAUCUUUUUUAUGUUGAGAUUGGACCGUGGUUUAAAAUUGUAUUAUGAUCCAAAUAAUUCAUAUCCACUUACUUUUUAGUUUAUAUUUUU
Dreissena polymorpha is the source of this 922-nucleotide long non-coding RNA. RefSeq lists it as uncharacterized. NCBI's taxonomy places the organism in Eukaryota, Metazoa, Mollusca, Bivalvia, Myida, Dreissenidae. The record is from RefSeq and is a predicted model, not a curated record. The transcript has 4 exons.